GUCAGGUUGGCCGAGCGGUCGAAGGCGCCAGACUUAAGAGAUUGACGAGUCUUCUGGUCCACAUUUGUGGGCGUGGGUUCAAAUCCCACACCUGACA
RNAcentral lists this transfer RNA (97 nucleotides) under Paramuricea clavata. It matches the Rfam family "tRNA". From Rfam's summary of the family: Transfer RNA (tRNA) molecules are approximately 80 nucleotides in length. Their secondary structure includes four short double-helical elements and three loops (D, anti-codon, and T loops). The record is from Rfam by way of RNAcentral. Lineage: Eukaryota; Metazoa; Cnidaria; Anthozoa; Malacalcyonacea; Plexauridae.